AUCGGUGGAUAUUUAUCGAUGACCUUCAAUUCGUCGAUAAAUAUAAAUUAUUGACGGACUCUAUGAUUGCAUUUAUCGAUAAAUAUUUUCGUUAGUAAUAUGUUAGUAAAUUUCAUUAUCGGCAUAUUUGAGGUCGUCGGUGAGUUGUUUGAUGAAAUAGGCUAAAAAAUUGGGAUUUGUCUCCCCUAAAUUCAAUUCUUCGAAGCAGAACCUUAUUUCCUCCUUCUUCAUUCCAAAAAGCUCUACAAGUGGUCUCUGCAUUCUUCUCAAGCAAAGCUUUGGACUCAUUGUUCUUCCCAGGCAACAUCCAUUUCGUUCUUUUGUUGGUGGUCGCGAGGUGAGGCUGCGUGGUACGUUGACGCUGUGAGGAGGAUGUUGAUGUCAUCCCGAGAGGCUAGGUGAUGUGUUGAGGGAUCUUCCUUAAGGGUUCAUGCUGUGAUUGAGGGGUUUUCGUUGAAGGCUCUUGGUGGAUGGUCAUUAUUGAAUUUAUUAGCACUACCGUGGAGUAAGGAGGUUGUCGUUGAUGGAGGGUGUCAAGAAUCCCUACUAUGGAGUGCUACUGGAAAAUUGAUUCAUCUGGGUCCUGAGAGCUCCAUGGCUUGGACUAACAACAAAGAGUCAUUAGUGAGAUCAUAGUACCUAUCUGAUGAAGAUGACUCUUGGGGUUUGAACUUGGUUGUGUCAACUCUUUGUGAAGCUUUCUAUCUUUCUGCUAGUCCAUCACCUUCGAGCAUGUGAACCACUUCAGACAUUUUAGGCCUAUGCCUUGGAAGAUACUGAGUACAUAAGAGGGCCACUUGAACCAUUUCCUGAAGUUCAAUUCUGUCAUAGUUGUUCUUCAGAUCCUAGGACUUAGACUUACCAUUUGGUUUGAGAUAAAGGAAAGAGUUCUGAUGAAUAAAGGGAAACAAACUCACCCAUUGCUACUAUUAUCUUAAUUAAAAGUUUAAUUUUAGACAAGAACUGUAAAUUGAAUUGGGAUAGCAUAGUUUUGGUAUAAUAUUGAAAUCAAUUCUUCUCAGUUAUCAGUAUCACAUAUAUUGUAUCUAAGGAUUAUCUAUCUCUUUAUGAGCAUAGUCAAUUUGUUAUAGUUCAAUUGAUUUCCUACAAGUAUGUAAGCUACAUGUAAUCACACCCUAUCUUUUCAGUAUAUAUUUUAUUUUUCCGCUCAGACUCUUGCACAUCUUCUCUCAAAUUAUCUUAGUUCCUGCUAUGAAGCAGAAAAUGAGGUGUAGUGAGCUGCAAUAUGAACAACAGUCGAAAAAAUUAAAAUUUGAAAUAGUAUGUGUGCAAAUAUCAUUUAACAUAGUUGCAAAAAAUGUUAUAGAUAUCAUCAUUGUUCUUCCUAAGAUUUCUUCGAGCGAUAUAAAAGCUUUAUAUUCCCUCUUUUAUAGCCUUUCUCAAAUUAAAAUUUCAUUACCUUAAAUUACAACAACCAAUAUCCAAAAAAAGAGUAAUAAUGAUAAGAUCACUACAAGAAAAGUUGUUAUUACCGACGGUACAUUACCGAAGGCUUAAAGGCCUUCGGUAAGUGGUUAAUUACCGAAGGCCUAUGCCCCUCGGUAAGUGGUUCAGGUAUAUGAAAUAACAUUUGGGUUUUCCCUCCUGUAAUUGCAUUUCGCGAAAACACUUCUUCCCCAAAACAGCAGAGCUCUCAUUGCUAAUCUCACUCUGUACUACCCCUACCCUAACCCCAAUCGUGACCGGCGUUGUUCCCUAAUCCACCAUUGCAUACCGCCGUUCCCCAAUCUUCAGUGUACGGUUUCUUUUCAAACCCUUAUUCUCCAAUCCUCCAUUAUCGUUGCUCUUCAGUCGCGGUCCUCCAUGGUAGUCGCAUUGCGGGCUCGUGAGCAAUCUGGUGGUUCAGGUGAGCUAUUGUGGCGAGAGUAUUGGAGGUGGUUGCCUGACGACGGGGCUAUCGCCAUUAUCGCGAGACCAAGCGGCUGUCGGUGUGUGACGAGGGCAUCCAUUACCGUUGCGUGACUCCGUGCCUGCUGCUACGUGACUCCGCGCCUGCUGCUACGUGAGGAGGUGUUCCAUUAUCUCUAGGGAGGCUAUUGGAGGGGGCUGCCGUGGAGAAUGAUGCUUAGGAACAUCCUGCUAGAUAUCGAACCACUGUUGCUAUGUGAACACCUCUGUUAUUUCCCUAUUCACACUACAUAUUGUUGAGGCUUUUCCUUUCCCAUCCGUGAUAAUUUCCUUCACCUGAUAGAGAUUUCAGAUUCUCCUUAUUGCAGUGUACCUAUCUAGUGUUGAUGAUCUCUUUAGAGGCCUACUUGCAGGAAGAUCCUCCAUUACAUUGAAGAGCCUCGGUGAUCGAAGAAGUCAUUGAUUUAAAAGUCAUUUUCGCUUAAGCGAGAAUAAUUUAGCUUAAGCGAGAAUGACUAUCUUCUUCAAGAAGUUUAUUCUCGCUUAAGCGAGAAUAAUUUAGCUUAAGCGAGAAUUUGGGCAGUAUAUAUACUCACGAGGCAGAAAGAAAAAAGGGUCUUUGGUUCUUUGGAGGCGCGAUUUCACGUCUGGAGCUCAUGGAGGGCGCGAGGAGCUUGUGGGAACAUCUCCUCAUCUUUCUUUGGGUCUCCUUCUUCUUCCAUCUUCCAUGUUUGUAAGCUUUAGGGUUCUCCAUGGAAAUGGAGAACCAGAUUCAUCUUGUUAGGGUUAGAUGUAGCCUAUGAACUCUUGUGUAAUGAAUGAUUGUUUCGUAUUUAUAAAUGCCUUUUCUAUCUA
This is a long non-coding RNA of Vigna angularis (adzuki bean), 2724 nucleotides long. RefSeq lists it as uncharacterized. The transcript is spliced from 4 exons. The record is from RefSeq and is a predicted model, not a curated record. Lineage: Eukaryota; Viridiplantae; Streptophyta; Magnoliopsida; Fabales; Fabaceae.